GAUGAACGCUAGCUACAGGCUUAACACAUGCAAGUCGAGGGGCAUCAUGGGAGUUGCUUGCAACUUCUGAUGGCGACCGGCGCACGGGUGAGUAAAGCGCAGGUAAUCUGCCGCAAAGUCGGGGACAACGUCCCGAAAGGGACGCUAAUACCGGAUGUUGUAAGAUUCUCGCAUGGGAGUUUUACUAAAGAUUUAUCGCUUUGCGAGGAGCCUGCGUCCGAUUAGGUAGUUGGUGUAGUAAAGGUGCACCAAGCCGACGAUCGGUAGCCGGUCUGAGAGGAUGAACGGCCACAAUGGAACUGAGACACGGUCCAUACUCC
Molecule: ribosomal RNA, 320 nt
Filed under: uncultured Veillonellaceae bacterium
Lineage: Bacteria; Bacillati; Bacillota; Negativicutes; Veillonellales; Veillonellaceae
Description: bacterial SSU rRNA
Rfam family: Bacterial small subunit ribosomal RNA
Source: RNAcentral